RNAcentral lists this ribosomal RNA (340 nucleotides) under uncultured bacterium. Its description in RNAcentral is "bacterial SSU rRNA". It matches the Rfam family "Bacterial small subunit ribosomal RNA", at positions 30 to 353 of the family's 1533-position model. The record is from RNAcentral.
AGUGAACGCUGGCGGCAGGCCUAACACAUGCAAGUCGAGCGGCAGCGGGUUCCCGCGAGGGGAUGCCGGCGAGCGGCGGACGGGUGAGGAACACAUCGGAAUCUGCCUGGUUGUGGGGGAUAACGUAGGGAAACUUACGCUAAUACCGCAUGCGACCCUGAGUCGACGGACUGGGGGUGAAAGCGAGGGACCUUCGGGCCUCACGCGACCAGAUGAGCCGAUGUCGGAUAGCUAGUUGGCGGGGUAACGGCCCGCCAAGGCGACGAUCCGUAGCUGGUCUGAGAGGAUGAUCAGCCACACUGGGACUGAGACACGGCCCAGACUCCUACGGGAGGCAGCA